AGCGAACGCUGGCGGCAGGCUUAACACAUGCAAGUCGAGCGGGCACUUCGGUGUCAGCGGCAGACGGGUGAGUAACACGUGGGAACGUACCCUUUGGUUCGGAAUAACGCUGGGAAACUAGCGCUAAUACCGGAUACGCCCUUUUGGGGAAAGGCUUGCUGCCGAAGGAUCGGCCCGCGUCUGAUUAGCUAGUUGGUGGGGUAAUGGCCUACCAAGGCGACGAUCAGUAGCUGGUCUGAGAGGAUGAUCAGCCACACUGGGACUGAGACACGGCCCAGACUCCUACGGGAGGCAGCAGUGGGGAAUAUUGGACAAUGGGCGCGAGCCUGAUCCAGCCAUGCCGCGUGAGUGAUGAAGGCCUUAGGGUUGUAAAGCUCUUUUGUCCGGGACGAUAAUGACGGUACCGGAAGAAUAAGCCCCGGCUAACUUCGUG
Molecule: ribosomal RNA, 433 nt
Filed under: uncultured bacterium
Lineage: Bacteria
Description: partial 16S ribosomal RNA
Rfam family: Bacterial small subunit ribosomal RNA
Source: RNAcentral